ACGGAAGGCAGCAGUGAGGAAUAUUGGUCAAUGGGCGGAAGCCUGAACCAGCCAAGUCGCGUGAAGGAUGAAGGUAUUAUGUAUUGUAAACUUCUUUAGCAGUGGAGUAAUAAGGGGAUCGUGAUCCCUGAUGCAGGUACACUGAAAAUAAGGAUCGGCUAACUCCGUGCCAGCAGCCGCGGUAAUACGGAGGAUCCGAGCGUUAUCCGGAUUUAUUGGGUUUAAAGGGUGCGCAGGCGGCCCUGUAAGUCAGCGGUUAAAUCGUGGAGCUCAACUCCAUCCCGCCGUUGAUACUGCAGGGCUUGAUUGCGGUCGAGGUUGGCGGAAUUCGUCGUGUAGCGGUGAAAUGCAUAGAUAUGACGAAGAACACCGAUUGCGUAGGCAGCUGACCAGGCCGUAAAUGACGCUCAUGCACGAAAGUGCGGGGAUCGAACAGGAUUAGAUACCCUGGUA
RNAcentral lists this ribosomal RNA (453 nucleotides) under uncultured Porphyromonadaceae bacterium. Its description in RNAcentral is "partial 16S ribosomal RNA". It matches the Rfam family "Bacterial small subunit ribosomal RNA", at positions 341 to 792 of the family's 1533-position model. Lineage: Bacteria; Pseudomonadati; Bacteroidota; Bacteroidia; Bacteroidales; Porphyromonadaceae. The record is from RNAcentral.